Long non-coding RNA from Oryzias melastigma (Indian medaka), 2693 nucleotides. RefSeq lists it as uncharacterized. NCBI's taxonomy places the organism in Eukaryota, Metazoa, Chordata, Actinopteri, Beloniformes, Adrianichthyidae. The record is from RefSeq and is a predicted model, not a curated record. The transcript has 3 exons.
UGUCACUAAACUGCAGUUUAAAUUGCAGUGCAGAAACUGUGUUAUCAGCUCCUCAGAUUAGAACUGAUAGCACAGCAGCUCGCUGCAUUUCAGAGAAAUAGAUGUUUAUUUUAGAAUUUGCUCAGAGCUGAUGACUGCAAUUCUCUGCAUAAUCAAUCCUUGUUUCACAAAUCUGUUUUUUUGCAAUAACAGGAACACCUUGCCCAUGACUUGAGGUCAUGAGACUGACCUGGAAAUUCCUUGACUUUUAGUAUCACUUUGACCUCUUGGGUAAAGAGGCCACCUUCAUAAAAUCUUUAAGGGAAUAAUAAUUAACUGGGAUGUGUCCCUUUUGGCCUUGAUUGGAGGAAUUUCCAGUUCCAGGUUUAAAUGUGUUUUAUCUUUAAUUCUUCACUUACUGCUCCAAAAUUCUGUUAGUAGUAAUACUGAAUUUUACAGCACAUAUUUGUAAAAUCAUCCACACAUAAAGUGUGAUUUAUUUUCUGAUUUAGAUCCUUUUCUAUGUUUGAGUAAAAGGUAUCCAUCAAGUUGAUCAAAUAUAAUCAAUGGUCACAUACAGGAGCCAAAAUGUUUCUCAUCUACUUUUUAUGUUUUUUUUCAAGUGGUGAGAUCUCGUUGCUGUCCAAGCCCUACAUUUCUACCUCAUUUUCAAUUUCUAUUUUAGGGCUUCUCUCACAAACAAAUGUUGGUCCAUGACUCAACUAUUAGUAAUGUAUUUAUUCAACAAUCAGCUGCCGAUGUUUGUCAAAAAUCUGAUGAUAAGUUUGUGAUUUUCUUGUGUUUUACUUCAUCUCAUCACAGAUGGUGAUCAGUUUUGAACUUCUGCAAAACGCAGUGACUGUCAACUGAGUCACACAGUCUGAGUGCUGAGCUGAAAUAUGGGGUAUUCAGAGGAUUCACUUCUGAGUAUUUUUGUUUGCUACAUUCUCUGUAUUGCAACGUAGCACAAAACAUUCAUUAACACGCUGUGUCUGAUGAACCGGUCAUAGCAAGGCCUUGAAAACACUGAACACAAAUUUAACUGAGCUUAUCUUCACAACUGCUAAAGUUUGAUGAAUAUAUUAGUAAAGAAGUGAGUUAUGGUAUAGAAUAAAUAUUGUAAAAUGUUUGAAAGAAGAUAAAAUGUCCCUCAGAUAUAGAAAAAAAAGUCCAUCUAUGUUCAUCACAAAAAGCAACGUGAUUCUGGUAAAAAAAAAAAAAAAAAUUAAAAAUUAAAAACUGCAAAAGUAGCUAGUAGAAAACUAAACCGGAUCAUUUGUAUGAACGUUUUAUUUUAUAAAUAAAAAAAAAUAAAAAAAGGAAAAUAAAAUAAAAAUAAAAUAAAUAUAAAUAAAUAAAGAUACAAGUUAAAAAUACUUAUUAGAUUUUUUUAUACCACACUAAAAUGUAGUAUUUCACUGAUAUUUAAAAAAAAAUAAUUUUUAACCUUUAUUCAACCAAGUUAUUCCCAUUGAGAGUAAAAAGAGGCAGUGUUAAAUGUGUUAAAACAAUAUUAAUUUGGCAAGUUUUAAAGAGUAAAACAAGCUUUCUGCUUACUUUAUAUAUUAUUUAGUAAAUUCAUGGUUUCAUUAGAAAGACUGACAGGUUUUUCAACCAAUCAAAAUAAGGAGAGAUUCGGAUCCAACAGGAUCUUUGGCUGCGUCACAUCCCACCCAGACAUUUACUCACUUUAUUUUUUGCUGAGGUCAGCAAAGAGGAUGUUAACAGUAGUUGGAUGACACAGAGCCGUCAAUGGAGAUCCCGCUGGACUUUUUUUACCGUGUUUCUUACCGUGAAGAUUUUUUUGCUAGAAAACAUUAAGGUAGGACGGCGUGUCUCCCCAGAUGUAAGGAAUACUGGAAGUGCCGGUGUAAUUCCUCAGACACCAGCCGGCAGGCGCUCUACCACCCCCAGCUGGACAGAUGUGGAGCAGAAGACGAGGCUAAACUGAGGAAAUCAAACUGGCAGUGUGACUCCAGAGGAAUGAUUAAACACUCAAACUUGACUCUGUAUCUUCUGUCAAGCACUGGCUAUAAAAACACACUUUCAUCAAAUAAUAAAUACAACUGGAUGGACACUUUAGAAAUGUAAUCAAUGCACUAUGUGAGUUGUUAAAGCCACUAUUUUAUUUUUUUCCAAGUUUUCAUUAAAAAUAAAAAUACCCAAAUUGUUGGUACUGCUGUUAUAACAGUUCAUCAAGGUGUCAUCCAUAUAUCUGGAUCAGUGGCUCGGUAAUACAAUCUUUGCAUUUGAUUAAAAAGAGAAGCAGAAAUGGAAGCUGCAGCAGCCGUUUUCUGAGAAUUUAAGUGGCUUUUGUUCACCUUUCGGCUUAUCCAGUAAGCUUUCAUUGAUUCACAGAGGUGGCUUGGCAGAGAGUUUUACACCGGAUGCCCUUCCUGACAUAAACCUGCAUUUUGAAGCCACAGAGAGACCAAAGUUCCUGUGUGCCAGUCCCACAAACAGCCGACGGAGCCAUCCAGCUGCUACAAACGGAAGAGAUUCCAGGAGGCUCGUCUGUGCCUGUUUUUGGCUGUGGACCUCACCUCUGGCUUGUUCAACACCACCUGGACAAAGUUCAUUUGCUAUUCAAACAUGCAGUUGUAGAGUUAGAUAAGAUAAUUCUUUUUUUAUCAGUCCUGGUACAUCGCCUGUCUGUCCUGGGAGAGGAUCUCUCCUUCAUGUGGACAUCUCUGAAGUUUCUUCUUCUUUUUUCC